RNAcentral lists this ribosomal RNA (261 nucleotides) under uncultured bacterium. RNAcentral describes it as "partial 16S ribosomal RNA". It matches the Rfam family "Bacterial small subunit ribosomal RNA", at positions 29 to 289 of the family's 1533-position model. The record is from RNAcentral.
ACGAACGCUGGCGGCGUGCUUAACACAUGCAAGUCGAACGGAAGGCCCUGCUUUUGUGGGGUGCUCGAGUGGCGAACGGGUGAGUAACACGUGAGUAACCUGCCCUUGACUUUGGGAUAACUUCAGGAAACUGGGGCUAAUACCGGAUAGGAGCUCCUGCUGCAUGGUGGGGGUUGGAAAGUUUCGGCGGUUGGGGAUGGACCCGCGGCUUAUCAGCUUGUUGGUGGGGUAGUGGCUUACCAAGGCUUUGACGGGUAGCCG